CGGAGCGUAGCGCAGUCUGGUAGCGUACCAGCAUGGGGUGCUGGGGGCCGCGGGUUCAAAUCCCGCCGCUCCGACCA
Molecule: transfer RNA, 77 nt
Filed under: Alphaproteobacteria bacterium GWF2_58_20
Lineage: Bacteria; Pseudomonadati; Pseudomonadota; Alphaproteobacteria
Also listed under: 1 other name
Description: tRNA-Pro
Rfam family: tRNA
About the family: Transfer RNA (tRNA) molecules are approximately 80 nucleotides in length. Their secondary structure includes four short double-helical elements and three loops (D, anti-codon, and T loops). Further hydrogen bonds mediate the characteristic L-shaped molecular structure. tRNAs have two regions of fundamental functional importance: the anti-codon, which is responsible for specific mRNA codon recognition, and the 3' end, to which the tRNAs corresponding amino acid is attached (by aminoacyl-tRNA synthetases). tRNAs cope with the degeneracy of the genetic code in two manners: having more than one tRNA (with a specific anti-codon) for a particular amino acid; and 'wobble' base-pairing, i.e. permitting non-standard base-pairing at the 3rd anti-codon position.
Source: RNAcentral